RNAcentral lists this ribosomal RNA (253 nucleotides) under uncultured bacterium. RNAcentral describes it as "partial 16S ribosomal RNA". It matches the Rfam family "Bacterial small subunit ribosomal RNA", at positions 524 to 776 of the family's 1533-position model. The record is from RNAcentral.
UACGGGGGGGGCAAGCGUUGUUCGGAAUUACUGGGCGUAAAGGGCUCGUAGGUGGCCAACUAAGUCAGACGUGAAAUCCCCAGGCUCAACUUGGGAACUGCGUCUGAUACUGGAUGGCUUGAAUUCGGGAGAGGGAUGCAGAAUUCCAGGUGUAGCGGUGAAAUGCGUAGAUAUCUGGAGGAAUACCGGUGGCGAAGGCGGCAUCCUGGACCGAUACUGACGCUGAGGCGCGAAAGCUAGGGGAGCAAACGGG